This 403-nucleotide ribosomal RNA is filed under the name Fusobacteriota bacterium. RNAcentral's name for it is "Fusobacteria bacterium partial 16S ribosomal RNA". It matches the Rfam family "Bacterial small subunit ribosomal RNA", at positions 355 to 776 of the family's 1533-position model. The record is from RNAcentral. Lineage: Bacteria; Fusobacteriati; Fusobacteriota.
UGGGGAAUUUUGCACAAUGGAGGAAACUCUGAUGCAGCGACGCCGCGUGAGUGAUGAAGAUCUUCGGAUUGUAAAACUCUGUCCUUAGUGAAGAUAAUGACAGUAACUAAGAAGCAAGCCCUGGCUAAAUACGUGCCAGCAGCCGCGGUAAUACGUAUGGGGCAAGCGUUGUCCGGAAUUAUUGGGCGUAAAGGGUACGUAGGCGGUUUAAUAAGUCCUAAUUAAAAGGCUAUGGCUCAACCAUAGUAUGGUUAGGAAACUGUUGAACUUGAGUAGAUGAGGGGGAAGUGGAAUUCCAUGUGUAGCGGUGAAAUGCGUAGAUAUAUGGAGGAACACCAAUGGCGAAGGCAACUUUCUGGAAUCAAACUGACGCUGAGGUACGAAGGCGUGGGGAGCAAACAGG